Molecule: ribosomal RNA, 477 nt
Filed under: uncultured bacterium
Lineage: Bacteria
Description: partial 16S ribosomal RNA
Rfam family: Bacterial small subunit ribosomal RNA
Source: RNAcentral
AGUGAACGCUGGCGGCGUGCCUAACACAUGCAAGUCGAACGGAUCUUAAGGGCUCGCUCUUAAGGUUAGUGGCGCACGGGUGAGUAACACGUAGCUAACCUGCCCCAUAGUAAGGGACAACAGUUGGAAACGACUGCUAAUACCUUAUACUCCUUCUCUACCUAAGUAGAGUCGGGAAAGUUUUUUCGCUAUGGGAUGGGGCUGCGGCCUAUCAGCUUGUUGGGGAGGUAAUGGCUCACCAAGGCUAUGACGGGUAGCUGGUCUGAAAGGAUGAUCAGCCACAUUGGAACUGAGACACGGUCCAAACUCCUACGGGAGGCAGCAGUGGGGAAUUUUACACAAUGGGCGAAAGCCUGAUGUAGCAACGCCGCGUGGAGGAUGAAGGAUUUAGGUUCGUAAACUCCUUUUAUAAGGGAAGAAAUUUGACGGUACCUUAUGAAUAAGCACCGGCUAACUCCGUGCCAGCAGCCGCCGUAA